Molecule: transfer RNA, 65 nt
Filed under: Cryptocelis alba
Lineage: Eukaryota; Metazoa; Platyhelminthes; Polycladida; Cryptocelidae
Description: tRNA-Leu
Source: RNAcentral
UCUGGAGUGGCAGAAAAUAUGCGCUGGAUUUAAGCUCCAGAAAUGAACAAUUUGUUCCUCCAGAG